Molecule: ribosomal RNA, 253 nt
Filed under: uncultured bacterium
Lineage: Bacteria
Description: partial 16S ribosomal RNA
Rfam family: Bacterial small subunit ribosomal RNA
Source: RNAcentral
UACAGAGGUGGCGAGCGUUAUUCGGAAUUAUUGGGCGUAAAGGGCGCGUAGGCGGCUUGACAAGUCCCGGGUGAAAUCCCUCGGCUCAACCGAGGAACUGCCUUGGAAACUGUCUGGCUUGAGGCCGGGAGAGGGUAGUGGAAUUCCCAGUGUAGCGGUGAAAUGCGUAGAUACUGGGAGGAACACCGGUGGCGAAGGCGGCUACCUGGACCGGUUCUGACGCUGAGGCGCGAAAGCGUGGGGAGCAAACAGG